CCUUUUUAUGUACCAGGAACUAUCCGAGCUCCUGGAGAUGCUGUUUUGGACAAGAUAGAAAAGCGAGCCCCUGGUCCUCAUGGAGCCCACAUCCUUACAGAAUAUCAAAAUUAGACAGAGUCAGUCUGUGACCAUGAUGGAUCAAGGCAAGAUCGAGCCCACCCACAACGAUGUCUGAAUAAAAAACAUGAACAUCGUCCACACCACAAGAAAAGUCACGUCCUGGCUGAGAGGAAGAGUUAUGAUGGCAGAGAAGUAGGGGGACCAGGAUUUCCCUCAACCCACAACACGGCAGUAUUGAGGUCAACCCACAACACAAAGUCGGUCUGCAGAGUGACGGAAAAAUGUCUACAGGUGGAGGGAGACAGCUUGGAGGGACUGAGGUGCGUGUAUGCAAAUUGGGGGAGACCAAACAGUGUGGGCACGGAGGGGAGGGAACCCCUUCUGCCAGAGACAAAAGGGAGAGAAAGAGAAGCUGUGGAUUGCAGUAUUGUUCAUACAAGAGAAAAACCUGUCCGGACCCUGGACAGGGGAAUGAGAAAUACAGAGUGUGCCAGUUUCUACUUUGUGAACGGCCUUAGGAGCUGAAGGCUGGAGUUCUCAAAAGUGCGGGACUUUUCUCCUGACCGAGGCUUCUGCCUGGCCUGGAGGUGGGGAGCCAGCCCUGGGGUAUGGUAGCCAUCUCAGGGGUGCACUGUGAGCAAACGGUCUCCUGCCUUCAGUACUGUGGGAAGAGGGUAUAUUGCCCCCAACAAGGACGAAAGACCCUGCGGGCGGCACCAGCCGUAUGGGCAGGGCAGAGUGGCACUACCCCGGAACCUGGUCCAUGUGGUGUGGGAUCCUUUAAGACAUCAGGCUCUGAAU
Molecule: long non-coding RNA, 864 nt
Organism: Herpailurus yagouaroundi (jaguarundi)
Lineage: Eukaryota; Metazoa; Chordata; Mammalia; Carnivora; Felidae
Exons: 3
Source: RefSeq, a predicted model, not a curated record